GAACGUUAACGGCGUCGAGCGGCGGACGGGUGAGUAAUGCCUGGGAAAUUGCCCUGAUGUGGGGGAUAACCAUUGGAAACGAUGGCUAAUACCGCAUAAUAGCUUCGGCUCAAAGAGGGGGACCUUCGGGCCUCUCGCGUCAGGAUAUGCCCAGGUGGGAUUAGCUAGUUGGUGAGGUAAUGGCUCACCAAGGCGACGAUCCCUAGCUGGUCUGAGAGGAUGAUCAGCCACACUGGAACUGAGACACGGUCCAGACUCCUACGGGAGGCAGCAGUGGGGAAUAUUGCACAAUGGGCGCAAGCCUGAUGCAGCCAUGCCGCGUGUAUGAAGAAGGCCUUCGGGUUGUAAAGUACUUUCAGCAGUGAGGAAGGCGGGUACGUUAAUAGCGUCCUUGUUUGACGUUAGCUGCAGAAGAAGCACCGGCUAACUCCGUGCCAGCAGCCGCGGUAAUACGGAGGGUGCGAGCGUUAAUCGGAAUUACUGGGCGUA
RNAcentral lists this ribosomal RNA (489 nucleotides) under Vibrio sp. RNAcentral describes it as "bacterial SSU rRNA". It matches the Rfam family "Bacterial small subunit ribosomal RNA", at positions 74 to 562 of the family's 1533-position model. RNAcentral also lists the same sequence under 1 other name. Lineage: Bacteria; Pseudomonadati; Pseudomonadota; Gammaproteobacteria; Vibrionales; Vibrionaceae. The record is from RNAcentral.